RNAcentral lists this ribosomal RNA (252 nucleotides) under uncultured bacterium. RNAcentral's name for it is "partial 16S ribosomal RNA". It matches the Rfam family "Bacterial small subunit ribosomal RNA", at positions 524 to 776 of the family's 1533-position model. The record is from RNAcentral.
UACGGAGGGUGCAAGCGUUGUCCGGAUUUAUUGGGUUUAAAGGGUGCGUAGGCGGUUUUCUAAGUCAGUGGUGAAAGGCAGCAGCUCAACUGUUAGCAUUGCCAUUGAUACUGGAGAACUUGAGUACAGAUGAGGUAGGCGGAAUUUAUGGUGUAGCGGUGAAAUGCAUAGAUACCAUAAAGAACACCGAUUGCGAAGGCAGCUUACUAGCUGUAACUGACGCUGAUGCACGAAAGCGUGGGAUCGAACAGG